This 429-nucleotide ribosomal RNA is filed under the name Gemmatimonadota bacterium. Its description in RNAcentral is "Gemmatimonadetes bacterium partial 16S ribosomal RNA". It matches the Rfam family "Bacterial small subunit ribosomal RNA", at positions 355 to 776 of the family's 1533-position model. The record is from RNAcentral. Lineage: Bacteria; Pseudomonadati; Gemmatimonadota.
CAGGGAAUCUUCGGCAAUGGACGAAAGUCUGACCGAGCAACGCCGCGUGAGUGAAGAAGGUUUUCGGAUCGUAAAACUCUGUUGUUAGAGAAGAACAAGGACGUUAGUAACUGAACGUCCCCUGACGGUAUCUAACCAGAAAGCCACGGCUAACUACGUGCCAGCAGCCGCGGUAAUACGUAGGUGGCAAGCGUUGUCCGGAUUUAUUGGGCGUAAAGCGAGCGCAGGCGGUUUCUUAAGUCUGAUGUGAAAGCCCCCGGCUCAACCGGGGAGGGUCAUUGGAAACUGGGAUACUUGCGUGCAGGGGAGGAAAGUGGAGUUCCAUGUGUAGCGGUGACAUGCGUAUAUAUAUGGAGGAACACCGGUGGCGAAGGCGGCUCUAUGGUCUGUAGCUGCCGCUGAGGCUAGAAAGCGUGGGGAGCAAACAGG